UGGCGGACGGGUGAGUAACGCGUGGGUAACCUGCCUCAUACAGGGGGAUAACAGUUAGAAAUGACCGCUAAUACCGCAUAAGACCACAGCACCGCAUGGUGCAGGGGUAAAAACUCCGGUGGUAUGAGAUGGACCCGCGUCUGAUUAGGUAGUUGGUGGGGUAACGGCCUACCAAGCCGACGAUCAGUAGCCGACCUGAGAGGGUGACCGGCCACAUUGGGACUGAGACACGGCCCAA
This 238-nucleotide ribosomal RNA is filed under the name uncultured bacterium. RNAcentral describes it as "partial 16S ribosomal RNA". It matches the Rfam family "Bacterial small subunit ribosomal RNA", at positions 96 to 334 of the family's 1533-position model. The record is from RNAcentral.